GCCGGAUAUGGUGGCACACACCUGUAAUCCUAGCAACUCAGGAGGCUGAGGCAGGAGAAUCGCAAGCCAGCCUCAGAAACUUUGCAAGAUCCUGUCUCAA
RNAcentral lists this small RNA (100 nucleotides) under Marmota monax (woodchuck). The record is from RNAcentral. Lineage: Eukaryota; Metazoa; Chordata; Mammalia; Rodentia; Sciuridae.